This 2386-nucleotide long non-coding RNA is filed under the name Orbicella faveolata. RNAcentral describes it as "uncharacterized LOC110045645, transcript variant X2". Lineage: Eukaryota; Metazoa; Cnidaria; Anthozoa; Scleractinia; Merulinidae. The record is from RNAcentral.
ACGCGACGACGUUUUUGCAAUGUAUUUUUUGCCUAUUGAUUCGGCCAGUUUUUGGCCAGAGAGAGCGCGAAAUCCAUUUUCCCAACUAUUCCUGAAAGUAGGCCGUAUUUAGAAAAAUGAACCCCAAAACCUUUGAAAACUCAUAAAUACCUCUCCAUAAACUCGAAACAAGGGUAAGUUAAAUUUUGACCGAGGCCCCCCUUUGCUCGAUAUUUCUGUUCAUUUUCUCUUAAAUAUCCCGCACCUAUAUUAAAAUCAAAUGACAAACCAAUCAAAUGAUCGCAGUUAAUCAGGCAUUCAGUGCGUGGUUACAAAACGUUCGAAAAUUUAAAUUGCAAAUUAUACAUGUGCUGAAGCAUUUUGCUGCGUUGCGUUCUUCGGAUGUACAUCAUCCUUUCACUUUCAAGAAUUCGACUUUUUAAUUUGGCUUCGGUCACUUCUAGUAACAGGUAGUAAGCCUUCAUUUGAGAUGGUCCUUCCGUUUCCAGCUGCUACGAGACACAGUGAUACCUGGGAAAAGAACUAACUUCAAAUGAGCAAACCUUGCAACGACUUGCUUCGAGUGGGAAGUCUUUUGAGUCUUGCAAAGAACUGAUGAGAAAUGGUGAUAAAACGGACAAAAUUCUAUUAGGAUCCCUGACACGAUUACUUCAGCGUCUCCUGGUUACAGGAAGAUUCUGAUAGACUCUCAUUGGUGGAUUUUCAAGGCUUGUCUUGGAUUCUUGGAUUCGUCAGAUGCCUGCUGACAUGAAGAAGAUUCUGGAUCACGCUUGUGCAAGUAGUUUUCGUUUGGUAAAGAACAAUAGUUUAGUUACUAAUUUUGUUAGAAACCGUGACUGAUCGACAAUCAAUUUAUCCUCACAAAAUGCAAAACCAGUUUAUUGUCAAGCAGAAAAGUGACAAGAAAAUCUGCAUCUAAUUAUAUUGUCUUGAUGUAUCGCCAAAUUCUCACAACUGUUGCAACAAGAAACGUAUAGGAAUUAGGAAAGAGAAAUUAUACUUAGAAUUGAAUGAACGCGGAUCCAUGUUAUUGAAACCACAGACCAAAAAAAAAAUUAUUUGCUGACCAUAUACACUCAAUUUAUUAUUUUUGGAAAAUCAUCGUUUGCUUGUUUACCGCUGUGAGCUGAAAUUGUUUUGAAAUCUAGCCACGAUUCGCUGUUUGAUUUGUCAUAAUUCGACAUGCAAAUAUUUAAACUACACAAAUCUCUCAGAUCACUCAAAUUUUGAACUACGCAUCCUGUCAAUUUAUAACGUAGAUCGUUUCUUUGGCCAGCCAUGAAACUAAAUUUUAUCAGUUUUUGGAAAAAAAAUUGUUGAUGGCUUCUUCACCGUCCAGUCAACCACUAUUAUUUUAAAUUUCGACAGAUUUCGCUGACUGAUAGUCAAAAUCUUUCAUGUAGCAGAUCAAUGAAAUUUUACAUAAAACUAAGCUGUUGAACUGAAUAUUCCGCGUCGUUUCAGUUUGUUUUUGAUUUAAUUGUGACUUCAGGUGAACUCAGUAGGAACUGUCGCUUGAAUCUCGCCAAAUUUUGCUGUUCGAUUACAGUCAAGUUCAGCAUGCACUAACCGUACAGAAAAGAUUUUUUAGAGCAACUUUUGUAAAAAUAGUCGCCUUUUUCAAUUUAUAACGUAUUUUUUGGCUGAUCACAUAACUCAAUUUGUUUUGGAAGAAUUGUUUUCGCUUGCUUGGUUACCGUGAAGUCAGCUGUUUGAUUGCAGUCAGAUUUGACAUGUACUAAUAACCGGUGCAGAAAUUCUUUUCCGUCAGCAAAGUUUGAAAACUAAAAUCUAUAGUAUGAAUUGUAUAUAUUAUGUGUCGUGUCGUUCCAUAACAUGGAUCCACACUUAAUUUGUAUCCAAUGCUGUUAAAACUUUGAAGAAAUAUUUUAUGCAAAGAUGCUAUCGCGUAUGCCAGCGAAAGAUUUAUUUUUAAAACCGGAGCAAAUUUUUGCUUGAAGCUGAUGUAAAAAAAAAAAAAAAAGCCAGUAUUGAAUUUCAGUGUUUACCAGCAACUUAGUGAUACACUCGUUCGUAAAAAAAUAGGACAAUUUUCAUCACUUUUUAGUUUCGACUAUUGCAUUCCCUAAAAUGAGAAAUUUCGUUAAAUUUUUUUCAGAAUUCUCUCCACUGAUACUUAUAACAAUUUAAAACGUUUCAGACUUAGUAUUUGCUCGAUAAAGCAACUUCAUCAUAUUACUUUCGGUUAUUGACUCUUGUAAUUACUACAAAUAAAUUCCAGACUCAGAAAUGUAGUUUAUUGUUUCAACUUCUUUAAUAGUUUGAUUUGCAAUUACUGUUGUAAACAAGUUACCUUAAUAAAACUUGUAAAUUAAGUUAAUGGUACAAAACAAUAAAAAAAUAAAUGAAACCAUUGUUUCUUUUA